RNAcentral lists this ribosomal RNA (751 nucleotides) under Staphylococcus aureus. RNAcentral describes it as "bacterial SSU rRNA". It matches the Rfam family "Bacterial small subunit ribosomal RNA", at positions 1 to 734 of the family's 1533-position model. The record is from RNAcentral. Lineage: Bacteria; Bacillati; Bacillota; Bacilli; Caryophanales; Staphylococcaceae.
UUUAUGGAGAGUUUGAUCCUGGCUCAGGAUGAACGCUGGCGGCGUGCCUAAUACAUGCAAGUCGAGCGAACGGACGAGAAGCUUGCUUCUCUGAUGUUAGCGGCGGACGGGUGAGUAACACGUGGAUAACCUACCUAUAAGACUGGGAUAACUUCGGGAAACCGGAGCUAAUACCGGAUAAUAUUUUGAACCGCAUGGUUCAAAAGUGAAAGACGGUCUUGCUGUCACUUAUAGAUGGAUCCGCGCUGCAUUAGCUAGUUGGUAAGGUAACGGCUUACCAAGGCAACGAUGCAUAGCCGACCUGAGAGGGUGAUCGGCCACACUGGAACUGAGACACGGUCCAGACUCCUACGGGAGGCAGCAGUAGGGAAUCUUCCGCAAUGGGCGAAAGCCUGACGGAGCAACGCCGCGUGAGUGAUGAAGGUCUUCGGAUCGUAAAACUCUGUUAUUAGGGAAGAACAUAUGUGUAAGUAACUGUGCACAUCUUGACGGUACCUAAUCAGAAAGCCACGGCUAACUACGUGCCAGCAGCCGCGGUAAUACGUAGGUGGCAAGCGUUAUCCGGAAUUAUUGGGCGUAAAGCGCGCGUAGGCGGUUUUUUAAGUCUGAUGUGAAAGCCCACGGCUCAACCGUGGAGGGUCAUUGGAAACUGGAAAACUUGAGUGCAGAAGAGGAAAGUGGAAUUCCAUGUGUAGCGGUGAAAUGCGCAGAGAUAUGGAGGAACACCAGUGGCGAAGGCGACUUUCUGGUC